This 164-nucleotide ribosomal RNA is filed under the name Krigia biflora subsp. parryi. Its description in RNAcentral is "5.8S ribosomal RNA". It matches the Rfam family "5.8S ribosomal RNA". From Rfam's summary of the family: 5.8S ribosomal RNA (5.8S rRNA) is a component of the large subunit of the eukaryotic ribosome. It is transcribed by RNA polymerase I as part of the 45S precursor that also contains 18S and 28S rRNA. The record is from RNAcentral. Lineage: Eukaryota; Viridiplantae; Streptophyta; Magnoliopsida; Asterales; Asteraceae.
CAAACGACUCUCGGCAACGGAUAUCUCGGCUCACGCAUCGAUGAAGAACGUAGCAAAAUGCGAUACUUGGUGUGAAUUGCAGAAUCCCGUGAACCAUCGAGUUUUUGAACGCAAGUUGCGCCCAAAGCCAUCCGGCUGAGGGCACGCCUGCCUGGGCGUCACGC